Molecule: transfer RNA, 76 nt
Filed under: Desulfovibrio desulfuricans
Lineage: Bacteria; Pseudomonadati; Thermodesulfobacteriota; Desulfovibrionia; Desulfovibrionales; Desulfovibrionaceae
Also listed under: 6 other names
Description: tRNA_Val_TAC
Rfam family: tRNA
About the family: Transfer RNA (tRNA) molecules are approximately 80 nucleotides in length. Their secondary structure includes four short double-helical elements and three loops (D, anti-codon, and T loops). Further hydrogen bonds mediate the characteristic L-shaped molecular structure. tRNAs have two regions of fundamental functional importance: the anti-codon, which is responsible for specific mRNA codon recognition, and the 3' end, to which the tRNAs corresponding amino acid is attached (by aminoacyl-tRNA synthetases). tRNAs cope with the degeneracy of the genetic code in two manners: having more than one tRNA (with a specific anti-codon) for a particular amino acid; and 'wobble' base-pairing, i.e. permitting non-standard base-pairing at the 3rd anti-codon position.
Source: RNAcentral
GGGCAGUUAGCUCAGUUGGUUGAGCAUCGCCCUUACAAGGCGGGGGCCGGGGGUUCGAGUCCCUCACUGCCCACCA